RNAcentral lists this long non-coding RNA (343 nucleotides) under Brassica napus (rape). Its description in RNAcentral is "long non-coding RNA (BNAP_LNC005082)". The record is from RNAcentral. Lineage: Eukaryota; Viridiplantae; Streptophyta; Magnoliopsida; Brassicales; Brassicaceae.
CCAUGCAAUCAUGAUUAAUUUUACCACGUAUUCCAUUUAAAAUAAUUAUUUUGCCUGCCAGAUACCCAUCACUUUCCAUUAGACCUCCUUCCAUCGUGGAGUCAAUAACACCCAUACACACAUUCACCGCACGCAAUCCUAUAGGAUGCAGCACCAAUUUAUGUGUAAACUUAAUGAAGAGGCAUAUUAACCUCGGGCCCAACCUUAUGAUACUCCAAGUAGAGAAACCCCUCUUACGACCAUUUAAAUUAAAACGUGCAAUACUUGUGGUAGCCAUAAAUAGAUACCAUAUAAAACCUCUUUUCCUAUAGAAACAUCUCGCAAGCCACCAUAUAACCAUAUA